This 313-nucleotide ribosomal RNA is filed under the name uncultured eukaryote. RNAcentral describes it as "partial 18S ribosomal RNA". It matches the Rfam family "Eukaryotic small subunit ribosomal RNA", at positions 1470 to 1796 of the family's 1831-position model. The record is from RNAcentral.
CCCCUAGAUGUUCUGGGCCGCACGCGCGCUACACUGAACAGUUCAACAAGUCUUAACCUUGGCCGAUAGGUCUGGGUAAUCUUUGAACGCUGUUCGUGAUUGGGAUAGACCUUUGCAAUUAUGGGUCUUCAACGAGGAAUUCCUAGUAAACGCAAGUCAUCAGCUUGCAUUGAUUACGUCCCUGCCCUUUGUACACACCGCCCGUCGCACCUACCGAUUGAAUGGUCCGGUGAAGUUCAUGGAGGGGCGGUUGUUUCAACUGCCGUCGAAGUGAAAUGGACCUCACGAUUUAGAGGAAGGAGAANUCGUAACA